RNAcentral lists this ribosomal RNA (429 nucleotides) under Bacteroidota bacterium. RNAcentral describes it as "Bacteroidetes bacterium partial 16S ribosomal RNA". It matches the Rfam family "Bacterial small subunit ribosomal RNA", at positions 355 to 776 of the family's 1533-position model. Lineage: Bacteria; Pseudomonadati; Bacteroidota. The record is from RNAcentral.
UAGGGAAUCUUCCGCAAUGGACGCAAGUCUGACGGAGCAACGCCGCGUGAGUGAAGAAGGAUUUCGGUUCGUAAAACUCUGUUGUUAGAGAAGAACAGCGCAUAGAGUAACUGUUAUGCGUGUGACGGUAUCUAACCAGAAAGCCUCGGCUAACUACGUGCCAGCAGCCGCGGUAAUACGUAGGUGGCAAGCGUUGUCCGGAUUUAUUGGGCGUAAAGCGAGCGCAGGCGGUCAAUUAAGUCUGAUGUGAAAGCCCCCGGAUAAACCGGGGAGGGUCAGUGGAAACUGGGUGACUUGAGUGCAGAAGAGGAGAGUGGAAUUCCAUGUGUAGCGGUGAAAUGCGUAGAUAUAUGGAGGAAAACAAGUGGCGAAGGCGACUCUCUGGUCUGUAACUGACGCUGAGGCUAGAAAGCGUGGGUAGCAAACAGG